Gorilla gorilla gorilla (western lowland gorilla) is the source of this 627-nucleotide long non-coding RNA. RefSeq lists it as uncharacterized. NCBI's taxonomy places the organism in Eukaryota, Metazoa, Chordata, Mammalia, Primates, Hominidae. The record is from RefSeq and is a predicted model, not a curated record. The transcript has 3 exons.
AGGAACCUCAUUUGCAUAACCUCAUCUAUAAAGCAUGCAGCAGGGGGCGUCAGACCAUUCCAGACUCUUCUGUGGCUGCUUGCGCAGCUGCUCCGUGCCCGGCUUAAAGGACCAGGAGAAGGGGUAGUCACUUGCCACAGCUGGAGGCUGGAGCGUGUGGCAUCACGGCUCGCCUCGCUGUGGUGGGUGCUGGCGACAGAGACGGCAGCUCGGCUGGAGUGAUUUGCUGAGAUUUGUUUUGUGGCCUAACAUCUGAUCUACCCUGAAGACACUUCCAUGUGCUGAUGAGGAGAAUGCAUACUCUUCAGCUGUUGAGUGGGAUGUUCUGUGAAUAUCUGGUAAAAAAACUGAGGCUUAGAAACAUUGAAAAAAACUUGCUCAACGUUGCAAAACAAGAAAUUUGUGACACUGGAAUUGACAUCUACAAGGGACUGAUGUAACUAAUUGCUGGAUACAUGUCCCUCAAAGACACAGAAACAGAUCUUGUAUUCUAGUGGAUCUCCAGCACCCAGUGAGGGCCUGAAACAGAGUACAUGUCCAACAAAUAAUUAUUGAAGUAAAGAUUGACAUUUCAGGAGCAGAGAUUAAUAUUCAAAAACAAAGAUGAGAAUUUUGGCAGAAAAGUCA